This 494-nucleotide ribosomal RNA is filed under the name uncultured bacterium. RNAcentral describes it as "partial 16S ribosomal RNA". It matches the Rfam family "Bacterial small subunit ribosomal RNA", at positions 28 to 507 of the family's 1533-position model. The record is from RNAcentral.
GACGAACGCUGGCGGCGUGCUUAACACAUGCAAGUCGAACGGAAAGGCCUGCUUUCCCUUGUGGAUUGCGGGUACUCGCGUGGCGAACGGGUGAGUAACACGUGAGUGAUCUGCCCCCAACUUGGGUAUAAGCCUGGGAAACUGGGUCUAAUUCCCGAUAGGACUGCAGGGUGGUGCCUGUGGUGGAAAACGAUUUUCUAGUGGUUGGGGAUGAGCUCGCGGCCUAUCAGCUUGUUGGUGGGGUAAUGGCCUACCAAGGCGGCGACGGGUAGCCGGCCUGGGAGGGUGGACGGCCACAGUGGGACUGAGAUACGGCCCAGACUCCUACGGGAGGCAGCAGUGGGGAAUAUUGCACAAUGGGCGGAAGCCUGAUGCAGCGACGCCGCGUGGGGGAUGACGGCCUUCGGGUUGUAAACUCCUUUCGACCGCGAGGAAGCCACCUGGUUGGAAGGGUGGUGACGGUAGUGGUAGAAGAAGCACCGGCUAACUACGUG